Alosa alosa (allis shad) is the source of this 1593-nucleotide long non-coding RNA. RefSeq lists it as uncharacterized. The record is from RefSeq and is a predicted model, not a curated record. NCBI's taxonomy places the organism in Eukaryota, Metazoa, Chordata, Actinopteri, Clupeiformes, Clupeidae. The transcript is spliced from 3 exons.
GGAUUGCGUGCGCGGGGAAGAUCUCCAGAAAGUUUGUGGUUUCUCUCUACAGCGACCAGGAACAUCGCAGUAAAGCUUAGGUGAUGGCGAUUGCAGAACACCGUAAAAGAAUAGCCUUGGAAGGAUUGCCCCUCUACCUCAGGGAGGACCCAACAAGUCUUUUCAAGAAAUGUCUGGAUACAGAUGCUGAGGAACACUACACCAAAGGUGUGAAAAUUGGGAUCCUCACAGUGGUAGAAGAUGACGUUGCAGCAGUCAAAUCUCUUCCUACGGUAAUCAACACAGCCAUCAUUUUGGAAGAGACUGUUGUUCUCCAGGAUAUUAAGGAUGUACCAUCUGCAUUUACGUAUUUGAUGGGCCUUGUUUAUGCAAUCGAUAUGCAAUACCCCAAAAACCUCAAGUAUACCUUUGAGGUGAUACAAAAGGUUUUUCUCAACCUAGGAGCUACCAGCUGUUCUGCGAGAACCCUGUCUUUCAGAAAUAAAAUGCAGGGACAUCUGUGAUAGUUUGCUUGAUGUAAUGGCACAUUAUUGGAAGUUGUACUGAUUGUUAGGACUGUGAGACCUUUUAAGUUUAAUUUUAUGCAUUUGGUAACGCUUUACUUGACGGGUGAGUACAUAACAUAUUCAUUGUAGCUGUAGUGACCGUUUUAGAAGACAUGACAACAUUCAUACCCUUCAAAAAUGUGGCAGUCAGAAUGGCGAUAUUUAUUGUCAUUUAUGCUUGUCAUCUGAUCAUAUCUAAAUAUUUUUUAUGAAUAGCUUAUAUUAUUACUAUACAGGUUGUGAAGUAUUCAUAAUCACUUAUCCGAGUUCAAGACUGAGAGGUAAACUACAUAUAGCUGACCAGUAUUUGUUGACCCUGAUUUGUUGACACCUUGAGGUAGUUAUAAUAUUUUGCCGCUUUGCCCACACUCAAGGGAAAAUGUCCAAAGUUCCCGGGUCAUCUCUAUGUGGUUUACUUCCCAGUGUUAAACUUAGAUGUGAAUGAAUGUUGAGUCAUGUUUUAUGAAUAAAUUAUAAAUACUUAGUUUGAUAAUUUCACAGCUGCUAUGAAUGUGAUAUGUACUUACCCGUCAUGUAAAAUGUUACCAUGCAUUUAUAUACAAUUUUUGUUGCUUUGCGACUAAAGGUACAACAAAGUGCAUUGUAUUAUUCAAUUUUGAAAACAAUGGCAUUUUCUUUUCAAAGCCAUUUUAUCCCAUGUUUUAUCCUCAUUACACAGAGUUCCCUCAUUACAGUUCGUAUUAAUGAGGCCCAUAGCACUCAGGAUCUUAACACUACAGCACCUAUUGUGUAUUAAGUUUUUUUUAAUUUUUUUUUAUUAUUAUUAUUUUUUUGAUUGUGUGCAGCUCAAAGAUCACUGAAUAUAGUUGAAACCCCAUUGUUUCAAAACAUUUUUGAUAUAUUCUUUUAUUGUGUGCAGAUGAAAGUUCACUGAUUACAGUUGAGAACCUGUAGCUUCAAAACAUUUUUUUAAUUUUUUUUAUUUAUUUAUUGAUUGAUUGUGUGCAGCUCAAAGUUCACUGAUUAGAGGUGAAAACCUGUAGUUUCAAAACAUUUUUUAAAAAUAUCUGUGUAUUCUAUGCUGCAU